This 460-nucleotide ribosomal RNA is filed under the name uncultured bacterium. Its description in RNAcentral is "partial 16S ribosomal RNA". It matches the Rfam family "Bacterial small subunit ribosomal RNA", at positions 338 to 795 of the family's 1533-position model. The record is from RNAcentral.
CCUACGGGCGACAGCAGUGAGGAAUAUUGGUCAAUGGACGAGAGUCUGAACCAGCCAAGUAGCGUGAAGGAUGACUGCCCUAUGGGUUGUAAACUUCUUUUAUAUGGGAAUAAAAUGUUCCACGUGUGGGAUUUUGUAUGUACCAUAUGAAUAAGGAUCGGCUAACUCCGUGCCAGCAGCCGCGGUAAUACGGAGGAUCCGAGCGUUAUCCGGAUUUAUUGGGUUUAAAGGGAGCGUAGGUGGAUUGUUAAGUCAGUUGUGAAAGUUUGCGGCUCAACCGUAAAAUUGCAGUUGAAACUGGCAGUCUUGAGUACAGUAGAGGUGGGCGGAAUUCGUUGUGUAGCGGUGAAAUGCUUAGAUAUCACGAAGAACUCCGAUUGCGAAGGCAGUUCACUGGACUGCAACUGACACUGAGGCUCGAAAGUGUGGGUAUCAAACAGGAUUAGAUACCCGGGUAGUC